Molecule: ribosomal RNA, 301 nt
Filed under: uncultured bacterium
Lineage: Bacteria
Description: partial 16S ribosomal RNA
Rfam family: Bacterial small subunit ribosomal RNA
Source: RNAcentral
CAGCCCCGCGGUAAUACAGAGGGUGCGAGCGUUAAUCGGAUUUACUGGGCGUAAAGCGUGCGUAGGCGGCUUCUUAAGUCGGAUGUGAAAUCCCUGAGCUUAACUUAGGAAUUGCAUUCGAUACUGGGAAGCUAGAGUAUGGGAGAGGAUGGUAGAAUUCCAGGUGUAGCGGUGAAAUGCGUAGAGAUCUGGAGGAAUACCGAUGGCGAAGGCAGCCAUCUGGCCUAAUACUGACGCUGAGGUACGAAAGCAUGGGGAGCAAACAGGAUUAGAUACCCCGGUAGUCCCUGUCCUUAUACAC